GGUGUAGCGCAGUUGGUAGCGCGCCUGCUUUGGGAGCAGGAUGUCGGGGGUUCAAAUCCCUUCACU
RNAcentral lists this transfer RNA (66 nucleotides) under uncultured Ruminococcus sp. It matches the Rfam family "tRNA", at positions 5 to 66 of the family's 71-position model. Rfam says of the family: Transfer RNA (tRNA) molecules are approximately 80 nucleotides in length. The record is from RNAcentral. RNAcentral also lists the same sequence under 2 other names. Lineage: Bacteria; Bacillati; Bacillota; Clostridia; Eubacteriales; Oscillospiraceae.